Long non-coding RNA from Galeopterus variegatus (Sunda flying lemur), 1889 nucleotides. RefSeq lists it as uncharacterized. The record is from RefSeq and is a predicted model, not a curated record. Lineage: Eukaryota; Metazoa; Chordata; Mammalia; Dermoptera; Cynocephalidae. The transcript has 2 exons.
UUAGUGACUGUCCACCACCCUUAGUCCCCUACUACACUGUACGUGCCUCAAGGACAGGGACCAUGCUAGUCUUGGCUGCUGGCACAGUGUGAUGGGCACUUAUUGGUAAUUAAUAUUUAUUGAAUGAAUGGACAAGUGGACAAGAGUUACACAGAGGCUACUCAGAGUUGGAGUCCUGAGGUUCAGGAUUCUCCCUUGAUGGCUAUCAGUGGCCUGCAGUCUGGGAGAACUGCAAGUGUGGAUCCACAAGUGUGUUGGCAGAUUUCAGCUUCUGCGAGGUGGGUGGUAUGUUAGUCAAAGUACACUGACUGCCAUAACAAAGAAUCCUCAAAUUUCAGGGCCUUGACAUAAUGCAAAUUUAUUUCUUGCUACCGUUACAUUCCUGUGUAGGCUGGGGGAGGGGACGCUGCUCCUAGGGGACUGGGCUCCUUCAGGUUUUUAGCUCCUCCCUCUUCUAGGUCCUCAGAGUCCUUUCCUUGCAGCUGGCAGGUGGGGAAAGAGCAAAUGUGGAGGAUUGUGCAGGAGAGUUUUUGGCUGUAUCAGAUUUUGCUGUUCAAUAAACCACCCCAAACUUAGCACUUACUACAGUGAACAUUUAUUGUUUCUUGCAAUCUUGUGGACUUGCUGGGUGGUUGUCCUGGUCUGGGCUGGUGGAGCUGGAGCUGGCUGGACUAGGAUGGUCCUGCUCACAUAUCCAGGGCUGCAGCAGGGAAGGCUGGGCUUCUGCAUAUGUGAGCAAGACCAUCCCUGACCUGGGCUGGUUCACACAGCGGAGAAGGGUUCCCAGCCACAAGAGAAGGCAAGCCCCUGGGGAAAAACUUGAAAACUCUUUCAAAUUUCUGUUUCUGACACAUUUACUAUUAUCCCAUCAGCCAAAACAAAUAACAUGGUCAAACCCGGAAUUGCUAUGGGAGGAGACUACCCAAGGUGAAGAAUCAGGAAGCAGAACCACGGAAGCCUAGGCCUAGCGGCAUUGUGCAUCAAUCCUGUCCUCACCCCAUUGCCAGACAGAGACGUGCUCCCCUGUGCAGAGGAGGAUGGGAAGCGUCGGCUCACUCUGUGCCCAGGAGGAAAAGGCCAUGGUGUUGAUGAACACAACAGUUUCUACUGCAGGCCUUCAAGCUACAAAGAUGCAGGAAACUGUGCCCUUUGAGUAUCCUCUGAUGGUGAGGAAGAAACCUUCCAGUCUUUUCUGUCCACAGCAGAGGGAAAUGACUUACUGCUCCCCCAUCCCGCACAAAGAUGGCAAAGCAAAUUGGCCUCUGGGACAUGGCUCACAUACUCCACAAGCAAGUGCUUGGCUUACUACUUUUACAACUCUGUUCUUAAGUUGCCCCCAGGAAGUAAAGACCAGAAGUUAGCUUGACUUCUCCUAUUCCCAGGUCCACAGCAAACUGAUCUCCCUCUCCUUUCCUCAUACGAUUGAGAAAGCAAAGUAACUCAGAGCCCAUCUGAGUUGUGCAAGAUCUGCUUAAUUUAUCAGGCCCAGAGACAUAAGCAUGGAACUCCAGCCACAUCCCCCUCACCCAUGUCCGGGAUAAUGCAAAAAGGUAUGUUUCAGCAUAUUCCAGGCCAGCUGCCACUACCAACGAUUGUAAAUUACCCAAAAUAUUAUCACAGGUUGUACAAUAUAACCCUUUUUCUUUGACUUUCCUGGACUUUAUGACACAAAGAGCAAUGUAAAGCCAAUCAGCAGCUCAUGUUAUUCUAGUGAACUGAUGUAAAUUUCUGGCAAACAACUUUGGAACUGCCCCUUUAAGAUUCUCCUCUUUCCUUUAAAAACCCGUGUGUACCUGCUGCCAGGUGGAGCACAUAUCCAAGGCAAUUUGGGUUUGUGUUUCCCAGGCUACAGUCCUAAACCUUGGACCAAAUAAACUCAGUUUUAUGUA